UACGUAGGGGGCAAGCGUUGUCCGGAAUCAUUGGGCGUAAAGAGCGUGUAGGCGGCCCGAUAAGUCCGCUGUGAAAGUCCAGGGCUCAACCCUGGGAUGCCGGUGGAUACUGUCGGGCUCGAGUCCGGAAGAGGAGUGUGGAAUUCCUGGUGUAGCGGUGAAAUGCGCAGAUAUCAGGAGGAACACCAAUGGCGAAGGCAGCACUCUGGGACGUGACUGACGCUGAGACGCGAAAGCGUGGGGAGCAAUCAGG
RNAcentral lists this ribosomal RNA (253 nucleotides) under uncultured bacterium. RNAcentral's name for it is "partial 16S ribosomal RNA". It matches the Rfam family "Bacterial small subunit ribosomal RNA", at positions 524 to 776 of the family's 1533-position model. The record is from RNAcentral.